This 257-nucleotide ribosomal RNA is filed under the name uncultured Gardnerella sp. Its description in RNAcentral is "partial 16S ribosomal RNA". It matches the Rfam family "Bacterial small subunit ribosomal RNA", at positions 99 to 354 of the family's 1533-position model. The record is from RNAcentral. Lineage: Bacteria; Bacillati; Actinomycetota; Actinomycetes; Bifidobacteriales; Bifidobacteriaceae.
CGAACGGGUGAGUAAUGCGUGACCAACCUGCCCCAUGCUCCAGAAUAGCUCUUGGAAACGGGUGGUAAUGCUGGAUGCUCCAACUUGACGCAUGUCUUGUUGGGAAAGUGUUUAGUUGGCAUGGGAUGGGGUCGCGUCCUAUCAGCUUGUAGGCGGGGUAAUGGCCCACCUAGGCUUCGACGGGUAGCCGGCCUGAGAGGGCGGACGGCCACAUUGGGACUGAGAUACGGCCCAGACUCCUACGGGAGGCAGCAGGA